GACGAACGCUGGCGGCGUGCUUAACACAUGCAAGUCGAACGGAAAGGCCCUGCUUUUGUGGGGUGCUCGAGUGGCGAACGGGUGAGUAACACGUGAGUAACCUGCCCUUGACUUUGGGAUAACUUCAGGAAACUGGGGCUAAUACCGGAUAGGAGCUCCUGCUGCAUGGUGGGGGUUGGAAAGUUUCGGCGGUUGGGGAUGGACUCGCGGCUUAUCAGCUUGUUGGUGGGGUAGUGGCUUACCAAGGCUUUGACGGGUAGCCGGCCUGAGAGGGUGACCGGCCACAUUGGGACUGAGAUACGGCCCAGACUCCUACGGGAGGCAGCAGUGGGGAAUAUUGCACAAUGGGCGGAAGCCUGAUGCAGCAACGCCGCGUGCGGGAUGACGGCCUUCGGGUUGUAAACCGCUUUCGCCUGUGACGAAGCGUGAGUGACGGUAAUGGGUAAAGAAGCACCGGCUAACUACGUGCCAGCAGCCGCGGUGAUACGUAGGGUGCGAGCGUUGUCCGGAUUUAUUGGGCGUAAAGGGCUCGUAGGUGGUUGAUCGCGUCGGAAGUGUAAUCUUGGGGCUUAACCCUGAGCGUGCUUUCGAUACGGGUUGACUUGAGGAAGGUAGGGGAGAAUGGAAUUCCUGGUGGAGCGGUGGAAUGCGCAGAUAUCAGGAGGAACACCAGUGGCGAAGGCGGUUCUCUGGGCCUUUCCUGACGCUGAGGAGCGAAAGCGUGGGGAGCGAACAGGCUUAGAUACCCUGGUAGUCCACGCUGUAAACGGUGGGUACUAGGUGUGGGGUCCAUUCCACGGGUUCCGUGCCGUAGCUAACGCUUUAAGUACCCCGCCUGGGGAGUACGGCCGCAAGGCUAAAACUCAAAGGAAUAGACGGGGCCCCGCACAAGCGGCGGAGCAUGCGGAUUAAUUCGAUGCAACGCGUAGAACCUUACCUGGGUUUGACAUGGAUCGGGAGUGCUCAGAGAUGGGUGUGCCUCUUUUGGGGUCGGUUCACAGGUGGUGCAUGGCUGUCGUCAGCUCGUGUCGUGAGAUGUUGGGUUAAGUCCCGCAACGAGCGCAACCCUUGUUCACUGUUGCCAGCACGUUAUGGUGGGGACUCAGUGGAGACCGCCGGGGUCAACUCGGAGGAAGGUGGGGAUGACGUCAAGUCAUCAUGCCCCUUAUGUCCAGGGCUUCACGCAUGCUACAAUGGCUGGUACAGAGAGUGGCGAGCCUGUGAGGGUGAGCGAAUCUCGGAAAGCCGGUCUCAGUUCGGAUUGGGGUCUGCAACUCGACCUCAUGAAGUCGGAGUCGCUAGUAAUCGCAGAUCAGCAACGCUGCGGGGAAUAUGUUCCCGGG
This 1343-nucleotide ribosomal RNA is filed under the name uncultured bacterium. RNAcentral's name for it is "16S ribosomal RNA". It matches the Rfam family "Bacterial small subunit ribosomal RNA", at positions 28 to 1378 of the family's 1533-position model. The record is from RNAcentral.